GACAUCUGCAGAUAUUUAUUUGAAUUUUGUUGAAUUGUUCUCAUCAAUAUCUUAGUGAGAAGAGAGCAGGCUGAAUGGAAGAAAGUCAUUAUGACCACUGGGGCCACUAGGGGGUGUCCAGAGAAGGUAACUACUUUGCCC
Lagenorhynchus albirostris (white-beaked dolphin) is the source of this 141-nucleotide long non-coding RNA. RefSeq lists it as uncharacterized. The record is from RefSeq and is a predicted model, not a curated record. NCBI's taxonomy places the organism in Eukaryota, Metazoa, Chordata, Mammalia, Artiodactyla, Delphinidae. The transcript has 3 exons.